RNAcentral lists this long non-coding RNA (222 nucleotides) under Panax ginseng (ginseng). Its description in RNAcentral is "long non-coding RNA (PGIN_LNC016169)". The record is from RNAcentral. Lineage: Eukaryota; Viridiplantae; Streptophyta; Magnoliopsida; Apiales; Araliaceae.
AAUAGAGAUUGUAGCUCAGUUUGAAUAGCAUCUUUCCAUUUUGGCCAAUCUUUUCUUUUCCGACAUUCUUCCACGUUUUAUGGUUCAGGAUCCGUGUCAGGAAUCAAAGUAAUAUCUGAUGCUAUAGAGAAAGCAAAUAUAUCAUCAAUUAUGACUUUGCUUCGAUCCAAUAUUUUCUCAUCAUGUACAUAAUUUAUUGAGAUCUCUUGGUGUUCAUCUCUU